CCUACGGGAGGCAGCAGUGAGGAAUAUUGGUCAAUGGGCGAGAGCCUGAACCAGCCAAGUCGCGUGAAGGAUGACGGCCCUACGGGUUGUAAACUUUUUUUGUCAGGGAGCAAUUGGGUCCACGCGUGGGCUGAGCGAGAGUCCCUGAAGAAAAAGCAUCGGCUAACUCCGUGCCAGCGGCCGCGGUCAUCCGGAGGAUGCGAGCGUUAUCCGGAUUUAUUGGGUUUAAAGGGUGCGUAGGCGGAAUAUCAAGUCAGCGGGAAAAAUUCGGGGCUCAACCCCGUCGUGCCGUUGAAACUGGUGUUCGUGAGUGGGCGAGAAGUAUGCGGAAUGCGUGGUGUAGCGGUGAAAUGCAUAGAUAUCACGCAGAACUCCGGUUGCGAAGGCAGCAUACCGGCGCCCAACUGACGCUGAAGCACGAAAGCGUGGGUAUCGAACAGGAUUAGAUACCCGUGUAGUC
This 460-nucleotide ribosomal RNA is filed under the name uncultured bacterium. RNAcentral's name for it is "partial 16S ribosomal RNA". It matches the Rfam family "Bacterial small subunit ribosomal RNA", at positions 338 to 795 of the family's 1533-position model. The record is from RNAcentral.